This 569-nucleotide ribosomal RNA is filed under the name uncultured bacterium. Its description in RNAcentral is "bacterial SSU rRNA". It matches the Rfam family "Bacterial small subunit ribosomal RNA", at positions 27 to 604 of the family's 1533-position model. The record is from RNAcentral.
GGACGAACGCUGGCGGCGUACCUAAUACAUGCAAGUAGAACGCUGAAGAGAGGAGCUUGCUCUUCUUGGAAGAGUUGCGAACGGGUGAGUAACGCGUAGGUAACCUGCCUUGUAGCGGGGGAUAACUAUUGGAAACGAUAGCUAAUACCGCAUAACAAUGGGUGACCCAUGUCAUUCAUUUGAAAGGGGCAAAUGCUCCACUACAAGAUGGACCUGCGUUGUAUUAGCUAGUAGGUGAGGUAACGGCUCACCAAGGCGACGAUGCGUAGCCGACCUGAGAGGGUGAUCGGCCACAUUGGGACUGAGACACGGCCCAGACUCCUACGGGAGGCAGCAGUGGGGAAUAUUGCACAAUGGGGGAAACCCUGAUGCAGCAACGCCGCGUGAGUGAUGACGGCCUUCGGGUUGUAAAGCUCUGUCUUCAGGGACGAUAAUGACGGUACCUGAGGAGGAAGCCACGGCUAACUACGUGCCAGCAGCCGCGGUAAUACGUAGGUGGCGAGCGUUGUCCGGAUUUACUGGGCGUAAAGGGAGCGUAGGCGGACUUUUAAGUGAGAUGUGAAAUACCC